This 23-nucleotide non-coding RNA is filed under the name Arabidopsis thaliana (thale cress). The record is from RNAcentral. Lineage: Eukaryota; Viridiplantae; Streptophyta; Magnoliopsida; Brassicales; Brassicaceae.
CAAAUUAGUCACAACGUUAACUG